UCUGGUUGAAAAUCAUUCUCUUAAUCACAUUUGCACAAUAAUGUUGUGUAGCAAGUCUCAAAUCCACAAUGCCACUGCCCUCCUCAUUGUUGCACUGGUUGAACACGUAUCGAACAAGGUGGUCGGCCUCCUCAAUCCUCUUGUCCGUGAGCCACUUAUGUCUCAUGGGAGAGAGCAACUCGGAUGUGAUGACCUUCCUCAUUUUCUUCCAUUGCUCCCCGAAGGGCACCAUAACAGUGGUUAUGUACCCUUUGGUGAUGAGGAAGGUGGAGAUGCUGAGAGGCCUCGUGGCAAAAGUUGCAUCUUGUUUCUUCAAAAUUUCGCGGCUGAGAAUGGGGCAGGAGACGGGGAUGACAUGAACGUUUGCAAGACGAAUGCAAGCGAUUUCAGUGUUGCUUUCCUCCAUGAGCUUGUGUAUCCACCGGAAUGUGGGCUUGUUCAUGAGCAUCUCGGGGAGGUUGCCCACAAUAGGCCAAGGCCUUAGGCCCUUGGGAGUGGGAGGAAGUGGGUAGUGUUGCUUGAUAGCUUUGUUGUUGUUGUCGUUAAUCUUGCUUUGGUGCCAAUAACGCUUCAUUAAGAAACGCACCAAAGUGAUGGCCAAGCACAAUGUGAGGAAGCCAACAUUGGCUUCCAUGACAGCACAAGUAGAAAGAAGGGUUUUAGAGUUGAGAGAGUUUUGAGACUCUUUUGUCUCUCUCUUUUAUGUUUCUUUUGCUUUGUGAAAAAAACUUGGUCGCUAGAAAGAAAGUGUUUAGAACUCUAGGAGAGAUGAGAUGAGAGAGCUGAUGGUUCUAAUUUUAAAGCCCUUGGUGCCUCUGUAUAUAUAGCCUAGGGAUCGAGAAUGUGUUGGAGAAAUGAUUGCACGUGAAACAUAAACUUUCUUUUGUUUUUGUUUUUUUAUAUUUUGAUUUGGUGAAACGCGAAACUUAAAAUAUGGGUAUUAGGGCCUAACGCGUUCUUUUUUAAUUACAAUUUGGCCACUCUGACACCUUGAAUAGUUGGCUUGUUAAUGGUCUAAAUUUUUGUGGGGCCAAGCUGUUUCUUGUAAUCUUCCUUUGCUCGUCUUGCGGUCCGCCACAAAUCCAAAAAGGCAAGAUUUGCGAUAAAUUUUUACAAAAAAGUUCCUAGUAUGUGUUUUUCACUUCAACAAAUAUUACCUUAUUGAGUGAAUUUCCAUCCAUCCAUCAAUGGGAAAACACUCUAAUUUUGUGUAAAAUAUCCAUCAUACCUUUCUCAUAUAAGAUAGAUUAGUAGUUCGAUUUAUGUUCCACUAACACAUGCAUAUAUAUAGCAUGUAUGUAUGUCUAUAGCCACGGAAAUGCUAUGGAGGGUGUGCAUAUGGUGCCACCGUACAUGGCCUCUAAUUUUUUAGGACACUUGAAUUUUCUUACAUGUGUAAUUGCACAAUUAUGAUCCUAACAUAACUGCUUUAGUGAUUUCCUUUUACUUAUUUAUCAAAAUAACACAAAUUUCUCCGUAAAAUAGCACUAAGGAGCAUUAAACCCACGACCAUUUAAACAACUUCACCAUGUAAUUAUGCACAUCUUCAUGAAAAAGAAUUAGGUUCAUUACUUUUAUUUUUAUUUGGAAAUUUAAUUUAAAACCUUCGUUCAUUUCUUAACCCUCAAAUGCAGUAGUUGUCAACAACUCCACUUUCAUUUUCAUAUCCUCCAUUCUCUGCAUAUGCUCCUACCUAUAUACGCACGCAUACCACGUGGGUGAUGUGCCUGGUUUAAUGAUGACAAUAUAUAUAUAUAUAUAUCAAAGAACCGUCCUUAUUUAGAAGCAACUUCCUUCUUUAGAAGCUUCAAAUAGUGCCUGUCAAUGAUUAUCAACUCCGCCACGUACACCUGGCAUAUGGGUUUCCUACAUACAGCAUGUUAUGCAACUACAUUUAAUAUAUAUUAUAUUUGCUCUCCCAUAUGUUUCCACAACGCAUCGCACACAUAGCAUGCUUGAAAGCACAUGUUAUAUAUGCAGCCUCGCACUAGAAGGAGAAAAAAAACAUAAAAUCUCCAUAUGUUUCCUACUGUUUUGCCUGCUCCCAUAUGUUUCAGAGUUUUGAAAUCAAAUGCUGUGUGUGUGAAACGAAUGGGAACACGUUUCUUCUUUGUGGUGACAGAUUUCACAUGCCACCCCCAUAUGUUUGUUUUUAAUCGUACCCAAGUAAGGUGGCAAUGCUAUUCAUUACUAAUAAAUAUGUAAAUAAAUUGGGAGCACUUAUUUAUUCACUCAGACAAAUCUUGCACUGAUCAUUGUCGCAUUGUGGCCAUGAAACAUAUGGGAGAGCAUGCAAUGGACUGAAUGUGUGAACCACGGCUAGGUUCAUUGUCACUUGUCCAGAUUCAUCAACAAUACUACAAGUUAUCGAGCUAAAAUUCUCAUGGGACGGAACCUCAACUUCCUUCACUUACUGUGCAGUAAAAUAUAAACGAUCUCAAACAUCAAAGCAUUCCUAUUACUAUUAUUUCAUGAACCUUGUUGUGGCUUAGAUGCCCUAUUGUUGUGCCUUAGAUGCCCUAUGGAGCAACCAGUUGGAGCCACCACCACAAAUCCCCAUAAUUGUCAAUGACCUGGCUAGUGGGUGAAUAUGGACAAUUUCCCCCUAUAGGCUAUAGCAAUUAGAAUAUAAUACUCAUUCCUAUUCGUUACACUAUAAUAUAAUAAUGGCCAUUGUGUACACAUUAUUAGACUAUAUAAUAAUAAUAUUGCUUCUUUUAUUGAUACAAUAUCACAUUCAAACAGUGGAACCUUCCACUUCUGCUGGUAUAUUUAUGCAUAUUCGCAUAAGUUGAAAAGAGUUUGAUAUCGACUAAAUGUUGGAAGAAGCUCUCUCUGUGAUUUGAUCUGGACAAUAUUGAAGAACCUCUUUCUGUUGGAUUUUCAAAAUAUAUGUAUAUGCACAGUUAUUCUCUCAUCCAAAUGUCUACACGUUAUUAUAUAUUGUGUGAAUAUCAUUAUAAAUAAGAACAAAAAUAAAAAGGAUAAUAGAAAAAACAUGACGUCCACAUAAGAGAAUUUCUAUAUAUAUAUAUAUAUGUGUGUAUGAUAUAUCGUAUUUUCCAAGCAAUCAUUUCUUUGAAACUAGUAAGGAUAAUUACUGAAAGGACAAUGCUUAGCUCCUGAUAUAUCAGAAGUCAUUCCUUCUCAAUCAUGACUUGGGCUGCUUAAAAAACCAACAUGUGUAUUUUAUUUUUAUUUUUUCCCUUUCCCUUCCCCAACGCUUUUUAACUCAACCUUUUGGCUGGUUUUAACUGCAGCCUCCUCAAAGCCGCCACCACCCUUGUUCUGAAUCCACCCUCAUCACCAACCUCGCCCUGUAAACCUCCGGCCAAUUUUGGAGCCCAAGACCCUGGAUUGAAAUCAUUAUGUGCUUUCAAUUUUUGGUUUUUGAUUUGCAGCUAGAGCAGAGAGGAGAGAGAGAGAGAGAGAGAGAAGAAAAAAGAAAGUCGGCAGGCUGCCUUAUCGGUUCAAUGGCGAGGUUGGUGAUGAGGAUGGAUUCGGAACAGGGGUGAUGGGGAGGCUGCAGUUCAAACCAGCCAAAAGGUUGGGGGACAAGGAAAGAGGAAAGAAAAAAAAACACGCGUAUUAGUUUUUUAAGGAAUCCACAUCAUGAUUGAGGAGGAAUGGCUCCUGAUAUAUCAAGAGCCAAGCAUUUUCCUCAAGCAUUGUCCUCAUUGAAAUUACUUGAUCCCAUGUACUGUGUCAUCAUUUGAUCCCAUGUACUGUGGCUCUUCCAAUUCCAUAACUCUUGGUCUCUUUUGCCAGGGGCUGUUGUUGGCAUUCAGUAUAUCUGAGUCAUCAUUUAAUGAGACACAUGUAUCUCAACACAAUGGAGCAUAACAAUUUAAGGCCAUAAUAUUCUGGUUUAAUUUCUAACAGUUUUCCUUGGAAGAAGAUAUACCAUAUGUUUCAUGUUCGAGCCUCGUAAUAUUAUAAUUGUUCGUGUGAAAAAUCUUUUUUUUUUUAUUUUAAUAAUUUAAAAUUAUUACUUGUAUUAAAAAAAAUUAUAAAUAAAAUAAAAUAAAAACCAACUUUGACAGUAGAAUAUUAGUUGCAUGGCCAGUAAAAAAACAUCAUAUCCAAGUUAAAUAUUAAACUUACAGAGAGAAACAGCUGGCCUAUAAUCAUUUGCUUUCAAAUAAUUGAUUUGAUCACAUCAAAAGCAGAUCUUUGCAUCCCAUUAAAUUAAAGUACUAAUUUCUUCUUCUUGUUGGGUGCUUUAAAAUAUUCGUUUCAAUUUUCAUAUGUUCUUACACUCUUUACCCAAAAAAGAAAAAGAAAAAAAAAAACUAAUUAAGUCACCCGAAUUGUCCUUUUCAACAAUAUUAAUAACAAUUGCCAGCGUUAACAUAUGAUAACUGAACAACAUGCACAAAGCAUGGGUUCCAGAGAAAACAGUUUGGUUUUAAAGUUUGAAAUACAUUUGGUCAGACAAAAUUGGUUGACUACCCUCCACGGGUUUUCUAGAAAACAUAAGGAAAACGUGGCGGUUUGGCAAAAUUAGGAAUUUUUCCAAACAUUUUGUUUUUCCGUUCCUCAGUUCUCGUACUCUACCUUUAAAAUCUAUACAUACAUAAAAUAAUUACAACGUGGGUGAAAUGAUGUUGACUUGUCCAAAAGACAAUAAGAAUUUUGCAUGGAUUUUCUCGUAUUUUGACAGUAUAUAAUUUCAAAAAUAAUAUAAUGAAGAAGAAAAAAAACACAGUACCUCAAACUUCAUCUUAAACCCCACAAAGAACAAAAUUAAUCAAGGAUAAUUAAAGUUAAUCAAGGGUUUUAUUUUACAAAUAGAUAUAUGUUUAAUUAGAUAAGCACAACCUCAAAUGAAUUUUGGAAAAGGCAUAUUCUCAUAAUCUUCCAACCAUACUAUAUAUUUAAAACUCCAAAACGGAAUAUUCUUAGAAUAUUCUAUAUUCAAAGCCUGUUCUUAUUCUUACAAUAUUCUAUGUUUUUUUUUAAAGUAUUUUUUAUUUAUGUUGUAAUCUUCUUUUAUUGUAUUCUUAGUUUUAGUACUGUGCGCUUUAUAGAUUUUUGUUUCUAUCUAACAUGCACAGUUUCGAUCUCUUGGACUCUUGCUGUUGGAUAUUAAUCCAAUGAUUUAAAAAAGUUUUUUAAAAGGAGUGUAAGAGUAAGUGAACCGUUGAAUUUACAUCCAACGAUGAGUGACCAUAAAUCUCUUGAACCCCCGUAGUCCAAGAGAUCAAAACUGCUAACAUGCAUAGUAACUUCACAUUCUCUUAAGAAUUUUUUAUUUUAUUUUAAAAAUAGUUUAUAUAUAUUCAAUAUUAGGGUUAAUUUAGAGAUCUCAUUGAGAUAUUUUUAAUGGUAACUUUCAUGAUAAAAAAGAAUUAUGAAGUUAAAAUUGUGAUAGGAUAGAUGUUAUUGGUAAAAAAGUAAAAAGAAGGAUAUGAAAUGAAAAUUAUAUGAAAAUUUUCAAGAAUUAUAUGAAAAUUAAAUCGGGAACUCUACAUUUUGGAGUCCAGUUAUUUCCACAUAUUUUAUGAGUAUUGGAUGGUACACCACCCCCGUAGUGUAUCCAAAAUACACAAAAAUUUCUCCAGUUCUUAGUAGUCCCUAUAUAUGGAGUUCUGAAAUUGAAACUUCAUAGAAAGAAAAUUUAUUAAAACCAUUGAUAUAAGCAUAUGCAUAUAUAUAUAUGUAUAUAUGUGUGUGUGUGUAUGGGCAGAUCCGUGACACCAAGUUUUGACACAAUUUUUAGGCCAUUAAAUUACUCCGCUUUUAAUGAAUGAGAUUAAAUUUGACAUGACUUUUUGACAUAAAAAAUAAAUUUAAAUGUUUUUCUCUCUCCUUUCUCUAUUUUCUCGUAAAGGUAAAUUUCUAUCACAAAAUAUAUUUUUUUCUCUCUCCUCUGUCUCUUCCCUAACUGUUCUCUGCUAAUCAUCUUUAGACGAGGCAGCCGUCGCCAUGAUGAACACUCCCAAGCACACCUUACACAAGGUCACCAAUACAAGAAAGGAAAUGAUAGCCUUACUGCCCAGCACCCAAUCAAGAGGUGGUGGAGAAAAGAAGGGGAAGAAGACCUCUCUUUCCUAAGUUCAUUGGUUAGGUUUGUAGUUUGUGUUGCUUUCUAUCUUGUUGGAGCUUUAAAGAAAAUAUGGUGGACAAGUCUUUAUUCUUAGUUGUUAUGUUAAACAUUGAAUUGUUCUGGACAAUCUUUUUCUGAUCAAUUGAGAUUUGAGUUAUAAUUCAAAAAAAUAAAAAAUAAAAAUCUAUCUUGAUGCUUUGUUUCUCUCGCUUCAUUCAGAAUAGACAUUCAUUCACUCUCUGUUUUCUCUCUCUAUCAGGUAAUGGUGGUGGUUGUGAUGGAAAUGUGUUAUGAGAAAUAAUAACGGGUUAGCAUAACUUAAUUAACAAAUUAUCAGUAGUAACUCUGACAACAAAAAGAAGGAGAAUGAGAAUGAGAGAUUGAUUAAGAGAAAAAUGUUCAUUCUACACGAGGGAUUUCAAAUUUUUUGAGAAAGAAUGAGAGAAAGAUCAAGAAGUUUUUUUGGUCUGAUAAAAGAAAGAGUUUAGCAGAAAGUGUUGAUGAAGAGAAAUAGGAGAGAGAGAAAGAAAAAUUGUGAUAGAAAUUUACCUCUCUGAGAAAAUAGAGAGAGGAGAGAGAAAAACAUUUUAAUUUAUUUUUCAUGUCAAAAAAUUAUGUCAUAUUUUAUCUCGUCUGUUAAUCUAAUGGCCCCAAAAAUUGUGUCAAAAAUAUGGUGCCACAGAUCCGUCCGAUCAUAUGCUUUCUCAUCCUCUCGAGGUGUUCUAUUUGUUGGUUGUGUUAUUUAGGAUUGAUUUCUGCGUUUAAGUUGUCAAAUAAGCGAUGGAAAUUUGGCCAAUUUUCGGCCUCCGAUUCUGGCCACUUCCGGUGAAUUUUUGGGGUAGGUCCAAGAACAAACGUUGCUCAACUCUAGGUGAUGAUCAUGUAGGUAUAAGUUUUGCCCGUCGGUUUAGAGAUUUUUCGAUCGCCGGAAUCACUUUGGGUACCCACGCUCUGUCGGCGCGUGGGCCACUAUUUGGUUGGUCUUAGGCUCCUAAAAUACUCCUCAUGUCGUCCCGAGCACGACGGAAUGCUCGGAUACAAAUUUGAAUAUCGUUUGAUAGUCGAUCAGAUAUCGCAUAUUAGGCGUUAUUCGGUUCGAUAUGUUCGGGCCAUUGGAUCGACUUCAAUUUAAUAUAUGUUAAUCUAGACACCUCUAGGAUCGUGUAAAAAUUCGCAAUUCGCAAAUCGGAACCCCAGAUGUUCCAAUUCAAUAAGGUAAAAUUGCGUUUUACGAUAAUCGUCCGAUCAUACGAUUGUGAGCGAUCUGACUAUUCGAUUAGGACCAAACUUGCAUGGUAGGUUUAGAAGAGUGUGUUGAACCUAUAGGAACUCCCGGAUUGGUGAUCAAAGGUCGUGGGCCUCGUGGGCCCGGUUGACCAAGUUUGGGCAGUUUAACCCUUGGUUGACCGUGAGUCUUCCAAGGUAGUUUCACCUUUGAAAAUUUGGAAUAUAUGAUUAUUAAGAAGUGAGUUGACAUUUAUUUUAAAUAUGCAUUAUUUUAAAUGAUUAAAGGAAUAUGCAUGAAAUAUAUUUUGGAAUAAAGAUUGAGAAAUUUGUAUAUAGUUAUAUUAGUAAUAUUUAAUUGGGAAAUUGUUCGAAUUAUUUUGGCUAUGAAUUUAUGUGUUAUGUCAAAUUAUUUGUGGAUAGGUUUGGAUGAAUUUUUGGUGGAUUGGGAUUAAAUAAAUAAUGUUGAUUAUUUUGAAAAUUAUAUAGUUACACUAUGUUAAGUACCAUCCCUUAGAUACUGGAUUUUCCACACGUGGCGUUGGAAAUUCCGGCGUGUGAAAAAAUAUGUGAUUAUUAGAUCUCACACGUGGCGUUGAAAUAUUCCGGCGUGUGAGACAUUGUGAUUUGUUAUGGAUUAUCACAAGUGGUGUUAGAGAAUUCAGCGUGUGAUAAUGUGGUCUGCGCGCGUGGAACUUAGUAUAUUAGCCACGUGCCAUUUUUCCUUAAUUUUGGAAAAGAGGAUAUUGUAUUCGGUGUGAUGUCGGAAUUUCCACAAGAUUCGUCUUGGGUUCCGAGGAAUUCGGGGCGAGUCCUGUCAACCAUCUUAAAAGAAAAUGAGAUGCAUCAGAAUUUGCAAUAAUCUUCAGGCUUGAUAUAUUUUUGAACUCCAGGCCAAAAAUAUCUUAUAUAUUUUACCCGAAACUUCAGGUUCGGGAUCUAAGACAUUAAGCCAUUUAUUAAUAGUUACUUCAGGCCCUAUAAUUGUUUAAGGAACUUCAGGCCCUCAUUAUUCAUGUAUAUUAACUGAAAAUAAAGUGCGAUAAAUAAAUUUGCUAGUAUGGACGAUAAACCCGUACCAUUCUUAAAUGUAAAUGUGCGAUAAAAUAAGUUCGUAAAGUAAAUUACUUGUUGUAUGAGGGUUAAUUCCGCACCAUACUUUAAAUAAAUGUAAAUGUUCGUAAAGUAAAUUACUUGUUGUAUGAGGGUUAAUUCCGCACCAUACUUUAAAUAAAUGUAAAUGUGCGAUAAAGUAAAUUACUUGCUGCAUGGGGGUUAAUUCCGCACCAUACUUUAAAUAAAUGUAAAUGUGCGAUAAAGUAAAUUACUUGCUGCAUGGGGGUUAAUUCCGCACCAUACUUUAAAUAAAUAUAAACAUACGAUAAAGUAAAUUACUUGCUGUAUGGGGGUUAAUUCCGCACCAUACUUUAAAUAAAAGUAAAUGUGGUUGUGUGGACGAUAAACCCGCGCCACACUUUUAAAUAAAUACUAUUGUAUGGGUAAUAAACCUACACCAUACAGUAAACAAAGUAAAUGUGGGGAUAAAACCACCACCUAAUAUAUAUGAAGUAUAUAACAUAUUAUAUAUUGUGGGCAAUAUAACUGCGCCACUAUUCAAGAUAUAAUAAGAUGGGUUUUAAGAUCACACCAUCAUUUUUAUUACAAUAAUAUGUGUUAUAACGAGAUGGGCAAUGAAAAUUACACCACCAUAAAAUAACAGAAUAGGGUAUAAAACGCACCAUUCCAAAUUACAGUACGAAAAAAUAAAUUAAACAAACAUGGAUGAAGCAACAUAAGAAUUGUGAAAAUACAAAAAAGAAAGUUUGCAUGUCGUUGUAGUAGUAAAGUGAGAGGAGACAUAUGGCAGAGAAGAGACAGAUAAAUAACCACAUAGUGUUGAGCUGAGAAAAUUUAGAAGUAAAAGGGAGAGACUAUUGUGCUGAUAACGUGUUAUAAAAAUAAUAAUCAGAGUAUGAAAAAUACCACUGAAUAAAAUAGGAUUGUAUUUGCUCUUAUGAUUUUUAUACUGACAGAACUUUCCCAUUCUGAUAAAACUCUUCUAAGAUAAAGCUCUUACACUCUCAAAUUUCUCUCUCUCUAUUUUCUCUUUGGAUUAGUGGUGUUCUACAAGUGAAUGAGGGAAGCCUAUUUAUAGACAAAUUGGAUGACUUCCCAUACAUCUUCAAAGUCUUCUUUUCCCAACAUCAUCAUUUUCUUAUUUUCUUUGUGUGGGCUCCAUCUACUCCCUUUACAACAAUCACAUGUUUAUUUGUUUUCUUCAAGAUAAAUAAACUCAUCUCAUGUUGUUUGAACCAGAGAUGCUCAUUGCCUUCAUGUUAUAAUGAGCCGACUGUAAACUUUGACCAUCUUGACUUCAAAUGGCCUGCCCAUUUGGGCCUAUGGAGUGGUCAAAAAGGUCAAAGCUAGCUUUAGCCAUACUCUAUUUUUGAUACAUGGAAGCCCAAGGUCCUAGCAGAUAUAGGAGGGGCUUGCAUAGCUUGCAUUGCAUGUGCCUUGCUUAAUGGCCCCAGGUCAUAUUGUUAAUGGGCCUCCAUGGCAGCUUAGAAGCUUUUAGAAUAGUUUCUGGUCUUAUAAGGCCAUGAGCCUCCACUAUAUGAGCCAGCCAAGAGUGAAAUGAAUCAAUUUAUCUUUUAAUGGAUUUCCUUUUUCUUUUACAUUUAUCUUUUAACUCCAACUUAGAAUUCUAUGAUCACAUGUUAAACUAAGUUGUUGGAUUGAUGUAGUUAUGUAAGCAAACUGACCAUAAUUCAUAUUUUUUUUCUAUUUAACUCCCGAUUAGUAGGGUCUAGACUAAUGAAAAAUGACCUUAACUUGUAUACAAGUAGUCUCAGAUUUGAACUCUAAAAACACCUUGAUAAUAUGUGUGAAACUCUCUAUUAUAAUUUAGACUAUCACUUAUAUUGAAGAAAAACAAAAACAAAAACUCCCGGCCCAGUUUCAAGGAGAAGAGAAGAAUCACAAUUUGGAUCAAUUGAUCAUCAUUCAGCAAUGCAUGCAACAAACUUUUGACCCAUUUGUCGGGCUUAGACUUUGAGAUGGAUCUAAAUUAUGGGAGUUGAAUCAUUCGGAAGUUGAACUUAAAAAAAAGAAAAAGAAAAAAGGAAGAAGGCAUUUUGACCUGUGCAAGAGAAAUGGAUGGGGAACUGGAUGGCCCAUUAUUUACUCACUCUUAACUUGAAACAAUUUUGACAUUUUAUGGUUCUCUGAAAAAUUUUAUACAAAAGAAAAAGAAAAGAUUCAAACAUAAUAAUGUCUUAUCAAUUACGAGGGGGAAUUCAAACUUAAAACCACUUAAAACGUUAAAAAGAUCUGUAGCACAAGUCCUCAAAUGCUAGUCGGCAACAGAUUAGUAAUGAAAUGAGUUUAUUAGACUCUAAAAGUAAGAAGUUAGUAACUACUCUUUAGUCUAGCAAUUUGUUUCUUUCUAAUGUUAGAAGAAAUUCCAUAUUCGAAUUAUCUCUCGCUUAAAAAGCACGUGUCCUAAAAGAAAUUAUAAAAAUUCCUAUAUUCUCCGUUCACCUACGCAACUUUAAUGUCUAUCUUCAUCUUUAUCUUUAUCUUUUACCAGCUUGAUACACACAAGUGCUAAACUUAAUCCCAAAAUUUCUCUGCAUAUAAUUUCUAAAAUUCAACCCACAACAUGCACGUGUACUUAAAACAAAACAAAAAGUAACUAAUACUAAUACACGAGUGGAGCAAAAAAAAUAAACGAGAAACCUUUUAACCAAACAAAGAAAGAAAGAAACCUAAUAAGCACGGAUGCGAAUAUCGAAUCAAAAUCCUCCGUGCAUUUUACACACAUGUCUCUUGCGCGUGAAAUUCUGGCGGUCGCACGGCAGUGCAUGAUCAGCGAUGCACAGUCAAUCCAUGCGAAAAUGUUGACUUUGACUGCAUUUACAUUUUUAUUAUUAUUUGUUUCUUUUUCUCCACACAAAUGCCACAACCAACCUUUCCAAUUGGGUAUUUUUACACCACAUAUUACGCCGGACUCUCACACGAAAAAUGAAGAAAUUAUUCAUUAUAAUAUAUCAGAAAAGUAUUUUGUUUAAAACUCCAAAUCCAAAUUACUUCCAAAUUUUCUCUAAAAUUCACCUUAAAUAUUGGUUAUUUAUCCAACAAAGUAGAACUUAUACUAUAUGUUGACAUUUUGAGGAUAUGUUCAUGACUAUAGCAGCAGCUAGUUAGUUAUCAACCCAUUGAAAACUAAAGGGUCAAGUAUGAUGAAAGUUGAAUUAACCACUAAUUAUAGGUUGAUUAUUUUGGGUUAAAUAUCAUGGUCAAACCAUUUUUUUUUACUAAUUCAGUAAACUUGCAGCCUUGCACUUUUAUGCAUGUGUCAGUGUCACCUAUAAGAAAACUUAUAUAUGAACCUGCAUGAUCGAGGUAUUAUUAUUAGAAUAUUACAAUAUUUGAAGUUCUGCCUUGUUUGCUUCCUAUCCAAAAUCUUAGUAUACCCACUUUCUAGGGUCAUAUGUAUGCUAAAGGAGGAAAACUAACCAAGAAGACCUUUAUGUUCAAGCAUAUAUGUAUGUAGGAUGCUUUUCCUUUUGGAUUCUUCAACAAAUAGGCACAUAGAAUGGUAUAUUUACAUAAAAGGAUAUCAAACUUUUCCUUCGGCAGAUGCAGAUAUGAACUUAAUUAAGUUGGCUGGAACGGAAAUAAAUAAAAUGAAAAUGAUAAAGUGUUGAGAAAGCACUUGCAUAUGGGUUAGGUUAGGUAGUAGGAGAAUAAUUAAGCUGUUAUAUAUGUCUGAGUUUUUUUAUUGCCACAAAGAUUUGGAAGAUGCUUGCUUCUAGAUUUGCAUGGCUGGUGGACAAUGCCCCUUUAACACGGUAUACGUCUAUGAGAUGACUCAUGCAUCUUCUAGAUUGCACGACUUUUGUAAAUAUCUCAGUACCAUCCUUCUCCCACCACUUGUCACUUAAAUUAAAAGAAAAACCUACCAUUAAUGCAUGUCAUGUGUACCUCAAAUUUCACACCAUACAAACAAUUGCAUUCUUUGUUGCUAGAAAAUGGCCACUUCCAAUUUUUGCAUCUAUUAAACAAGAAAACACUAUCCUAUUUGGUGUGGAUAAUCCUCAAGAAGAAAUUUGGGGUUCCUAACUUUUAAUAUGAACCGGCUGAUAUUAUAUUGGACAAAACAAUCAUGUUACUUUCAAAGUUUUAAUUUAAAUCGUCUAAUUUUAUUUAGAGUAUCGUACAAGUUAAUAAGUUAUAUACUCUUAACUCUUAGCACCUAAGUAUCUACUAAUGGACCACAUUAUUAUUUUAUGCUCUUAAUUAUGCAUAGCUUAAUGUAGUUUAUCUAACUCUUCUCUAUUCUUUUUAGAAAUUAUGGAAUUACAUUCAUAAUUCAAUCAAAAAAGUCACUAACAGCAAAUGACCAAUACAAACUAGGCAUAAAUGGCCAAUACAAACUAGCCACAAAAAGGGCAUUACAAUAACGGAACGAUCUAAUAUCAAAAUUGAGACAAUUUAGUGUACAUCCACUAACGAUCAUGCAUGAUCGAAAUUUUUUUGACAUAGGUAUCUCAACUAAAAUUGCAAACUCAGAACAAUUAAAUAGAGUUAAAGCUUGAAAAACCAAGCCAUAACAAUACAAAUAAAACUCUUAUAAAAAUAAAGGUAGAAAACUCUCACAAAAAGAGAGGUAAAACUCCCCUCUUUUUAUUUUGUCAUCUUAAAUUUUUAAUAAACGUAGGUACUUAUUGAAAGCGAAAAGGAACCAUAUAGUUAUGAAAUAUUUAAACCAAAAUUUCAAAUAAUUGCAAUAAUAAUAAUAAUAAUAAUAAUACGGAAAUUGUUAAUUUUUUACAAUAUAAGUAUAUUCUAAUAACUCAUCAAAUUAACAUUUAUAUAAUUGGUGGCGUAUAAGAGAGGAGCAGAUAUUGAAUUAGUUGAGGACAUCCAUAUCAACCGUUAGAGUGGAUAGAUGAUUGGAUAUGUAUUUUAAAUAAUGGGGAUAUUAAUUAUAUUGGCUUACAUACAAUUAAUUAAUUUAAAAUAUUUAAUUUAGUUAUUUCUUAAAUCGCCUCCGCUAUUAAAACUAGCAUAUAAAAAUAAAUAAAUAAAACUAUAGCCGCCAACCAGUCAAACCCACGAGCUUUGACCAGAAAAAAAUAUAAAUAAAAAACAAAAGAAAAUUUAAAAGAAAAAAAAGAAAGAAAAUGGCAAAAUAUUCAACGGUCAAAGCUCCCCUGAGCUUCUGAGAAAGCUCCCCAGUACAAAGAAGAGCCUUAUGCGAUACGUGACCAUCUUCUCUUCUCCACAAUCUCUUAUUAUUAUUAUCCAUUUUCAACACACAAAAAAGCUCUCUCUUUCACUAAACUCAAUUCUCUCUCUCUCUCCUUCUCUUUAUGGCCUCCUCUUCUGGGAGCUUAGACACUUCUGCAAAUUCACACCCAACCUUCACUUUCUCGACGCACCCGUUCAUGACCACCUCCUUCUCUGAUCUCUUAGCCUCUGGCACAGAUGAAGACCCCAGCACCAACACCACAGCUCGACAUGUUGGCCAUGGCGGGCUAGCAGAUCGAAUAGCAGAACGUACUGGGUCUGGUGUGCCCAAAUUCAAGUCUCUUCCUCCUCCUUCGCUGCCCAUUUCUCCUCCCUCCGUUUCUCCCUCUUCUUACUUCGCAAUCCCAGCUGGGUUGAGCCCAGCUGAGCUUCUUGACUCUCCUGUCCUCCUAAGCACUUCAAACGUAUGUAUAUGUUAUGUGUAUUUUGAAUAUCUGUUUUCUUGGGUUUUGCAACAUGCUCUGUUUGGGUUUCGAGAAAAUUGGAAUAAAGGGAAAGAAAAGUUAAAAAAGAAGUAGAUAUUUUUCAUUUCCCUUGAGACCAAAUGAUUGGACUUUGCUAACAAGGUUUUAACUUUGAGUCAAAGUCUUCUGGUUUUUUUAACUGUUCUUUUUGAGUUUGAUAAUUUUGCUGCUUAAUUGUUGGGUUUUGUUUGUUCUUCAAUUUUGUUUUGAUGUUUUUACUAAUGGGUAUUUCUUGUUUUGUGUUAUUGUUGGCAGAUUCUUCCAUCUCCAACUACCGGAAGUUUUGCAGCUCAGGCCUUUUGGAAGGCCAAUUCUGGAAACAACCAGCAGAUUGUUAAACAGGAAAGCAAGAACUACUCAGAUUUCUCUUUCCAAACACAAACAAGACCCCUCACUUCAUCAUCAACAAUGUUUCAAUCUACUAACAGCACAAUUCAAACUGUAUGUGGUGUGUUAUUUGUUCAAUUUUCACUUGUUUAUUUUUCUUUAUAGAUAUUCUGAAUUGUUUACUAAUUUGUUGCUUUUCUUUCAGGCACAAGAACAGGCAUGGAGUAACAGUUACUUUCAGGCACAAGAACCCCAAAAGCAAGAUGAUUUUUCCUCAGGGAAGAGUAUGGUGAAACCUGAAUAUGGUUCUGUGCAGAGCUUCUCAUCUGGAAUGGCCACCAAUAUCCAAAAUAUUAGUCAGGCCAAUGGUGGUUUCCAAUCUGAGUAUAGCAACUACAACCACCAACAAUCUCAGACCUUGAGCAGGAAGUCAGAUGAUGGGUUCAAUUGGAGAAAAUAUGGUCAAAAACAAGUGAAGGGAAGUGAAAAUCCAAGAAGCUAUUACAAGUGUACUUACCCCAAUUGCCCAACUAAGAAGAAAGUAGAGAGGUCUUUGGAUGGGCAAAUCACUGAGAUAGUUUACAAGGGCAACCAUAACCAUCCCAAGCCACAGAAUACUAGAAGAUCAUCAUCAAAUUCUUCUCAUGCAAUUCAGGCUUCUAAUCCCAACACCAAUGAAAUCCCAGAUCAGUCUUUUGCCAAUCAUGGUAACUCACAAAUGGAUUCCAUUGGAACUCCAGAAAAUUCAUCCAUUUCGAUGGGAGAUGAUGAUUUUGAACAGAGUUCUCAGAAAAGCAAGUCAGGAGGAGGGGAUGAAUUUGAUGAAGAUGAACCUAAUGCCAAAAGAUGGUAAGUUUGAUUUAUUAAAUGCAUGAACAAUAUUUUGUGUUUGAUGAGUUAAGUUGAAGUAUUUCCAUUGAGUUUUUUGGGUUUUUUGUGUGUGAUUAAUUAGUGAUUUUCCAUGAUUAUGCAGGAAAAAGGAAGUUGAUAAUGAAGGUAUUUCAGCUCCUGGGAGCAGAACAGUGAGAGAGCCUAGAGUUGUAGUUCAAACAACCAGUGAUAUUGAUAUUCUAGAUGAUGGGUACAGAUGGAGGAAGUACGGGCAGAAGGUGGUAAAGGGCAAUCCAAAUCCAAGGUAAAGCUCCUCUUAGUUAUGAUUUUGAUAUAUACUUUUUCGAACUUUUGAAAGAUGGAUUGCUUUGAUAAUUCAAUAUUAUUAUUGCCAUUGUUCAAUCUCUACCUAAUUGGACACUCUUCCCGGAAAACAUAUCACUAAAUUAAGUCUCAUUUUGUAAAGAAGAUAUAAAAAAAGUGCCAGACAAAGUGGAUUCUUUAUAUGUACCUUCUUCUAGAUAACAUCUUAGUUUCUUUUUAAAAAGACACUUUCUUCUAAAGUUUGCUUUUGAUGUGUGUGAAUGCUGUAAAUUUUCACUUCUUCCUUUUGGAAAAAGUAUAUUUCCUUUAAGAAACUAGAUUCUAUAACUUGUUUGCUAAAUGGGGUGUGUUUUAUUUUUGAAAUUGCAGGAGCUACUACAAGUGCACAAAUCCAGGAUGUCCAGUGAGAAAGCAUGUUGAGAGAGCUUCUCAUGAUCUUAGAGCUGUGAUCACAACCUAUGAAGGAAAGCACAACCAUGAUGUUCCGGCAGCUCGUGGCAGCGGCAGCCAUGCUUCUGUCAAUAGGGCUCUACCAAACAACAACAACAAUGUAGCCACAGCAAUGAGGCCUGUGGCCCAUCAAACUAACAACUUAAGGCAACAAACAUCAGAAGGGCAACAAGCACCCUUUACCCUAGAGAUGUUGCAGAGCCCCGAGAGUUUCGGAUUUGCAGGGUUUGAUAACUCUAUGGGGUUAUACAUGAACCAAGCGCAGCUCAAUGAGAACAUGUUUUCUAAAACCAAGGAGGAGCCAAGAGAUGAUGCAUUUUUUGAAUCAUUGCUAUGCUGAUAAAAAAAAAAAAACCGAUAGUCAUUACAAUAAGCGCACACACAGUCAGGUUCAUUCCAUUCAUUGCUUCUUUCUUUUUUGGUUUUUUGUGUUUGUACAUUCUUUUACAGGGAUUGAUUGUAAAUUCAAAACUUGUAUGGGCGUAGAAAGAAGUUUCUUAAUAUCUUAUUAUUAUUAUUAUAAUUGUUUUGGGGCUUUCUUUGCUAGCUCAGUUAGGGAGCCUCAAUUCAAUUUUUUUUGUACCCAUAUGUUUCAUUUUAGCUCAUAGUGUAUAACAACGAAUUUGAAUUUUAUCUUGAUGUUCUUGCAUUCAGCUCUCUCUCUCUCUCUCUCUCUCUCCUCAGACCGAAUUGCCAAUUAUCAUUCAGCAACAUCUGUACAAGUUGUGAGGCCCAUUUUUAAACUUAAGUGACCACAAACUCUCAGGCCAUGGCUUUUAAUUAGAUAUGCAAUUGUCAUCAGUUACAUCUUAAGCAGAGGUUUGAAUGGGUCAAAUAUGUCGGAGCUGGACAUUACAUUACUUAGUGCACAAGUUGGUCAAGGUCAAAUUUGUAUACUUUCUUUCUUUUUUAUAUUCACACAUGGAGUCUUCUGGGUAGGUCGCUUGGUGGGCCUAACUUGUAUUAUGCCGCGUUCACAGUAAUUGGGUCAUGGGUGGUAUAAUAUAGCCAUUCUGGUCUAUUCCAUGGCAAUUUGCUUUUAGUUAAAUUGCACAAAUCCUCUUUCGUUUCGGUAAUGUAGCUCAUAUGUCAACGUUGCUCGUAUGACAAAAAAAGAAAGUAAAUAAUAGAUAGUAGUGGUUUUAUGACCUACAAAUUUUGUUAAAAUUUUGAUGAAGAGUAGUGCUUUUGUUUGUUAGAAAAUACUUUUAAUAAUUUAAAAAGUGAUCACAAUGUGUAGUAGUGGUUUUAUAACUCAUAAACGCUUUAAAAUUUUUCUACUGACGAGUAAUUUAGUGUCAAAAAAUGCUUUUAAUUCUUUCAGAAGCAGUUUCAAACAAAUUCUUAACCCUAAUCGAACUUUCAGAAGUAAAAGAGUCAUUUUAAACCUUAUGUGUAAACCUAAGCAAAUAGACUGAAAUUGGUAACAAAAAAAGACAUAAUUAAGAGCGUUCUUCGCUGUAAAAGAGUAGCAUUCGCAUACAAUCCCACACUUGACAAUGACAUGGAUAAUUUGUGCAAUUUAACCCUUUUGUUUUUAUGUAUUUUUAAAAAGCAUGGGUGUGAUGAUAAGAGCAAGACACUAGCGUGAGCCACACGGUGCGAAGUUGGGGGGGAAUUGGGACCCAGAUGCCCGUUCACACAUACUCCCACUGACCGACCAAAGCAAUAGAUCCCUAUCUACAUUAUGUGUUGGUGUUUCUUAAUCCAUUUUUAUAUUCAAUUUGUUAAUUAAUGUUACGGCUCUUUGUUUCCUUUUUUAUUAAUUAUUCUUUAAUCCUUUUUUCAUUAUCUAAAACCGGUUUUCCAUAGAUAUCCUUAGAUUGUCAAAUUGUCGUUUUGUGAGUUCUAAAAUGGAGCCAAAUUAAAGGGGUUUUGUUGUUGGGGUUUUUGCAUGAUCAAGCACAAGCGGCUCACGUAUGUGAUCUUGUUUUUACGUGCACAAUAUUUUGGAAUGUGGACUACUCAUAAAAAUUGCUCUAUUUUAUACAUGCAAGUGGAAUCAAAGACAACUUGGUACGCAUUGGUGAAGAUGUUGGAUAGAUACGAACCAAGAUCCGGAAAAUAAUUAGAUGAGUUAUUAUUAUCAUAAAUUAAGAUUAGAAAACGAAUUUAUGGUAUUGGAAAUACUAUAAGCACUUUAGACAAUAAUUGAUAUCACAAAUGAUCAAAAGUUACUAGGGAUCGUCAUGAAUUAUGUGUUGUCAUAAAAUCUAUAUAUUUUUGUGUCUAUCUUUUUUUUCACGUGAUAUUAAUAUAUAAUACAUUCUAAAAGUGAAUGUCAGUCAGGUAGUGGUUGAGUUAGUUCAAAAAUUUCAACAUAUUUGGUUUUAUUUCUCAAUAUAACAAUAAAUACUCUUGUCAGAAAAAUAGUUAUGAGAGAAGGCUCAGCUAUUUUAUAUAUAAAUAAUAAACCCAUUUUAAUUCUGAUUUCUUCAUUUAAAGAAAAUACUUCUCCAUCUUUCAAGUCAACCCAAAAGAAAAAAAAAAAUACAAAAAGAAAGGCGGCAGAAAGCAUAACGGCUAUAAUACCAUCCGCCGACUCAUUCAUAAAUCAGCCAAUACUCAAUAGCCACGUGUACAAAAAGAUCAUUAGUUUUCCGAUUGUACACCUCCAGACUUUCCCUCUAUUUUCAAGCCCUCCUCCUGUCCUGCUUUAACAGAGGCCCGUUCACGCAUACUUUCACUGACCGUGGAAAGUGAACGAGAUUAAGACCAACCCUUCUGCGAAAGCAUAUUGGGACGCGUAUUAACUGUUAAAGACACUUUCACAAAUCCCACAUCGAAACCAAGUGCUAAAUAAUCGCCCAACAGCUUGAAUAAAAAAAGCCUCUGGAACCGUGCUUCCCCAUUCAGUAUUUAGCUCAGCCUUGACAAGACCUAUGAAAUUAAACACUGCCGGCUCUCUUUCCUUUGAGAAUAAUUAAACACCGCCGGCUCUCUUUCCUUGUAUUUUGAGAAGUAUUUAUUUAAAGUUUUGUUAACCGGAAGAGAUGGUGGUGGAUCAAGUCGGAUCGACGAAGAUCGAACAAAAUCAAAUGGAAUUGGAUCGCUACCCAGCGAUGAAGCGGAUUCGAGAGGAGUAUAGUAAGAUUGAAUCCAAACCCCCCGACGAUGGAGUCGGAUCGACGCAGAUCGAACAGAAUCAAAUGGAAUUGGAUCGCUACCCGAAGAUGAAGCGGAUUCGUGGGAUUGAAUCCAAACCCUCCGAUCGUGUCGGAUCGACGCAGAUCGGACAAAAUGAAACGGAAAUCGGUUUGCGGAAAACUACCAUCUCAAACUGUCUGUCUCGGCUUGAAGAGGAGUACAGAGAGAUUAAAUCCAAGCCCUCCGACGAUUUUGACUGCCGCAUGCUCGAGCGGAACCCAUAUGAAUGGCAAUUUGGAAUCAGAGGCGCUAGUGGCACUGAAUUCGAGAAUGGGAUUUAUCAUGGGGUGCUCCGGUUUAGGAAGAAUUACCCAUUGAAGCCUCCUUCAAUCUCGCUUUUGACGGAAAAUGGUCGCUUCAAAACCAACACCAAGAUCAGGAUAAAGCGACUGAAUGAUUGGCAGCCAUCAUGGGAGGUGCGAGAUGCUUUACAUGCACUUAUCGAUGAAAUGCCCACCUACCCAGAUGGUUUAUUGGGUUCAGUAGAAUACAAUAAGGAAGAAAGGCGUGAUCUGGCCAGGAAAUCUCGUGAAGCAGCCCCAAAAUAUGGCACUUCUGAACGUCAGAAGUUAAUUAAUGAUAUUCAUAAAUAUCUGCUAAACAAGUCACCAUCUGAUCCUGUUACUCAACUUCCUCAACUGAGCCCCGCACAAACCUCCAACGGCACAGGCGGUGGCUAUGUCGUCAACGUUAGUGGGAAUAUAUUUCAUGCUACCAAUUCCAACGGGGUAGGAAUUUUGGGUUCUAUGAAUGAGUUCUCCGACGAAGGCCACAAGCCCAAGAAGGUUAAACUUUCUUGGCCAGAACUUUUUUGGCGAAGAAAGCAGAACUAGACGUCUGUAGCGUAUGCCUCUUUUUGUUGUAGCUUCUCUCAUGUACAACUAAAUUGAAAUUGAAAAUGUGCAUUCUAGUUUAAUGAAUAUUCUUGACUCUUCUUGCAUUUAUUCUUCUUUCAUAUCAAGUUAAAACCUCUCUGCUUCUAGUUAAUGGAUACCCAAGGCCUUAUUUCGAUGGAUCCAGGAAAAAUAAUCUUUGGGCAAUGAAUACUCAAAUAUCCUGUCUGCUACUUUUUUUUAGUCAAAUAAAAUUUGUAAUAUCGCUCGUCGGGAGGGAGACUGAAUAUUCAUUGAAAAAAAGGGCCCAUCAUCAUCCGCCUGCAAACCAGCAGAUGGUGAAAUGGAAAAUGGGUGGUCCCCUAACUCACAAAUUGAUUCACAACCACGAACUCAUCGCUUCAAUAGCAACGCGAACGAGAGUAAAAAAGUCAAACACAAAACCAGCUGAUAUCUGUUGCGUAAAACCGCACCUUCAAAUUUCCAAUAGAUAUUGUUGCCCAAUAUAAUCUCAAAAAUCACGCCUGUGCUGUUCUUUUGUUACACUCUUUAAGUAUAAUGGUUGUCGUAGUUUACAUUUUCUGGACAUUGCUGAUAAACAAUAGUUCGACGUUACAAAAGAAUACAAGAUUUACUAUGAUCGCACCUCCACCUUUGAAUCUGGAGGGAAGCAGUUGGUUAGCUGAAUAUUGAGAAAAAGAAGUCGCUGAUCCUGAAGCAUCACUCGCUCAGGCUAGGAGGUGCAUCUCUGGAUGCUCGCUUCGGUACGCUUGUUGCCAUUUCUGCAUCUACAUUAGUACAUAAAGUGUGCAUAAAUUAGAAAUUGCAAUUGACAAUCCAGGAAAACCACAGGUAACAGAGCCUCCACUUCACCUAUUUGAGUAAUAAAAACAAUCAGACGACGUUCCAAUAUUAUUUGCAUAAACAUGUCUUACUAGGUGAUUGCCGUUGAAUAUAAACAAGGGCAGACAACUUUGAUUGUUACAUCAGUCUAUAAUAAAAAGGGAAAAGCUUCGCUCCUAACAUACCUGUUUCAAGAAGCUUUAAGAUUACACUAGCAAAAGGUGCCUGCGCGAUGUUGUGAGUUUUAAAAUUGCCUGAAAUGUGUAUAAAGCAAUGAAAAUAGGCAGGGAACAUCUCAACUACUCAAUUGCCAAAACACUCAAAAGGAUUUACCAACAUGUUCAAAUAUUGUAAUCAUCUAAACCUAUCACUACAACAACAAAUUAACACCAACCAAUUGUCAAUUGAUGCCAUUGGCUAAUUCCUAUGCUCUAUUCACAAAACUUAAAACAAUUAAUUGAAAUUUCAGCCUAGAAACUCACCCAUUGCUUAACAGAACUGAAAACACCAACCAAACCGCUCUAUCCAAAGCAACGAAAGACCACCUGCAAAAUAUCAAAAGAAAACAUGGUUUUAAAAAAAAGAAGAAGAAAAAGGAAGAAAAAACAGCAAAAUCGGAGAAGAAAUUAGCUUGAGUAUUUUAUGCAUGCACAAUCUUUUCAUUAAACCAAAAAAUUAGCUUGAGCAAAAUCUGUACGGAAAGAAACCACAGGGAAAAUGUAUGUAAUUGAGUUCAUUACCUCUUCAACAUUGUCAAAGAAUAGCAACACCGAAGGAGAUGUAUCCUGCGUAUCCAUUCCAGUCCCUAGCAGCUGCAAAGAGUAGAAGCAUGGCCAAAUUAUUAGCCCAUGAAAAGGAAAAAAACAAUAGAACCAAACUCUGCAUUCUGAAAUUAGGAUAUACAAACUUUUUUAGUUUUCAAUAAGUCUCCAUUCAACGCAAAAAUCAGCAAAAAUCAGCUUGGUAAAUCAAACCCACAAACAAAAAAAAUUAUGAAUUUUAAAUUUUCUGAAUUCUUUCUCAUCAUCACUAAUGUCCACAAACAGAAUUCCAAUUUAGAAGUCAGAUUUUCAAAUCCCACAUAUAUUUCCUAAACCAGUCUUCUUUAAGUCAACUAUGCUAAAUCAUUGCAAUCAGUUCCUAGAAUCACACUCCCAAAUUUUCUUUCCCCUUACCAAAACAAAAAUUAUCAAAUUCAAAUCCCCAGUCCCAUAAACCAGUAUAAGAACGAAUUUGAAUUAAAACCAUGUAGUAAAAGAACGAACAUAUCUUUAAACAGAGCUACCCAAAUAGCAGCAUAUCCUGCUUACCAAAACAGAGCUAUCCUAAACCCUGUAACAAAAGAACCAGCAUAUCCAAAUACCGAUUUCAGGGUUUACCAACUAAUUUUUAAUAACCAAACAGAAAACCUUACCAAAAGCAAUCAUAUAGUAUUUCAAUAACUAAAUUGUUUAACCUGAUUUCAUGAAAAUAAUAACACAAUCAAAUCAAUUUCAGUAUUUGGAUAAAAUUUGCAAAUCAAUAACACAGACCCACCAUGAGGAAAAAUUAGGGAUUUGAACUUUUAGGGCAGCAAAUUAAAACAGGUCUUAUAGUUUAAUCAAAUAAGAUCCAAGAUAUUAGUAACAACAAAAUUGAAAAAAAGAGCAACAAAAAUCGAAUGGAAAGAUGAAGCAAUAUUUACUUACAGAUCAGUGAGAGGAAGAGACUGAAACAGAGAGAAAGCUGGAGUUCGAUCUGAAGAAGAAGACCAACACACGCCACUCCUAUAAAGUCGAAGCCUCCAAAUAAUCUCCAACAGUAGACCGACCUCUUCCAUCAUUGCCCCGCAAUCAGGCCAACCAAACUCAGCAUCUGAUACAACGAAGGCUCCAAGUCGUUACAAUCGAAGGACAGGAGAGCAAACGGGAAGAGCAGAAACUAAAUAACCAAGUCAUUUACUGGAAAAGAAGAGAGAGAAAGGCUGAAACAAAGAGGAAUUUGUUGAACCUGAAAAGCAAAAGGAAAAGCAGAUGGCUCCGUAAAAAAGUAGAAGCCUCCAUAUGGACAUCGAAGAACCUAAACAAAGAACAAUGAGAACGAUGAACAAAAUUUCAGAGCGAACAAAACGCUCGCAGCGGAGGAGAGAAAGGAAGAGAGGAGAGAGAGGGUUGCGAUGAAGGAGAAGAGGUUUUCCAUCCCUCAGCGACUCUAACGAAGAGAAGAGAACAGAGCUGGAGGGCAAAACGGCUAAUUCACUGCUCAUAAGUCAACUCAAGAAAGCAGACCAUCACUUAAGCGGGGGCAAAACCGUCACUUUACUAUUCCUAAGCUACAGCAAUGGCGUUGACUAAGCUCCAACUUUACUUUUCAUCCAUCACAUUAUUUUGUUGUUACAAUGAUACUUCAAUUAGGUCUCAUAUGACAUCAUUCGUCUCUACUCCCACCCUCCACCCCAGAUCUGAUCCGAGAAGCAGAGCCAUCUUUUAUUUUGCUUUUGGAUUUGUGAAGAGAAAUUGGUUCAAUCUUUGAAGGAGGCUGAAAUGAUGGUUCAUAAUGACAUUCUUACCAAAUUAAUAGUCUGCUAGCAAGUAGAAGUAUUUUCUUUAAACUCAAAUUGCAAGUAUAUAUAUAUACAGAGAGCUUCUAUUUGAGGGAUCCCUCAAUAGAAGGGGACUGUAUACAUAUAUAUAUAUAUAUAUAUAUAUAUUUUUUUUUUUUGGUUUUGCCAAAGGGACCUCUGGAAAUUGAAACAUAGAAAAUAUUGCCAUUUGUGGACUAUAACAAGCCUCCAUUACUUACAAAACCGACGCCAACUCCACAGCAUUUGUGGUACUUACAAGUCUGGCUUUGCCAAUUCUUCCCAAGCCGAGAAUGCCAACUGUUUUUCCAGAGAACCAAAACGAAUUUAAGAAAGGAAAACCAUUACAAAAGAUACAACUCUCUCUCUCUCGCUUUUAGGUUGGGGUUCUAGUUCAGGGUUCAGGGUACGUUUGGGGGGGAAGAGAGAAAUUGGGGCUGGGAAGAAAUAUGGGUAGGUGAAGAAAUUGGUGGGGGGAGAAAAAAUCUGGGUGAGAAAUCGCCUGAGGAAGAAAUCAGGGAUGGAGAGGGGGAGAGAGAGAUACAUAAAAUUUAUUUUUACAAUUUUUUGUGUGAAAAGACAUUUUUGCCCAUGCCAAGUAGAAGUUGUUAUUGCCAUGUCAUUAUUUUUAACGGAAAAGUUGACAUAAUUGACAGAAAAGACGGUUUCUGAAACUGAAAGCAUAAUUAAAGUACUAUGGUAACAACAAAACAAUGUGAGGGACGAAAAGUAAAGUUGAGACUUAGUCCAAGGACCAUUGCUACAAUUUUGCCUAUAAUUUUUUAGAUAGGUCAUAUCUACUUUCCUUCUUCUACAAUUUUUUCCAUGUUGUGAAGCUCAGCCUUCAACAUUGAUUCCUACAUAUAUGUCACAACAUUCAAAGAUAGAUAUAUAUCAAUAAAAGUGAGCAAAAUUGGCGGUGAUUUCACCUUAUGUCAAAUAUCAGUCACCUCACCUUUGCCAGUCCAUCAGCAGUUUUAUUUUCGGAUAUGCUCAGUUCAUACACAUUCUAUAAUUCACAACUUUCAAAAAGAAUUUCCAAACAACUGAAAUCAACCAAGCCAAAAGAAUAUGAGAGAAACUUUCAUAUAACAGGUAUAGCUCUUGUGCUAUCUCCGACUAAUAAUGCAAUGACACGUAAGAAGUAGAUAAAUUGAACAUUCACAUUCACUUAAUGUAAUUAUGAUUACAAUGCUUGUAUAACAUACAAGUAAAUGUUAUAGGAGUGACAGCUGUACAAGAUCUGUUGCAACAGAUUUAACAAAAGAUAGAGUUAGUUCUAACUAAUCACGUGAGCUUGACUCAAGUCUUUGACUAAGAUGAGUGGCUAGGAUUGUUUUCAGUAAUAGCUCUAUCAGCCUCCCUCAAGCUGAAGGGUGCAGUGCAAACUAAGAGCUUGGAACACAGAAACUGAAAUCGAGCAGUAGAGAGAGACUUAGUGAAGAUGUCAACCAGCUGAUAUGAGGAGCUCACAAUUUUUAAACGAACAUAACCAAGAAGAACUAAUUCUUGAAUAAAAUGGUAAUCAACCUCAAUGUGUUUCGUCCUUGCAUGAAAGACCAGGUUUGAAGCCAAGGCCAUAGCUGACUCAUUGUCACACUGCAAAGUUGGUGGGUCAACAAGGUAUAGACCAAUAUCUCUGAAAAGUUUGGAGAUAUAGACUAACUCAGCAGCAGCGAGAGCAAUACCACGAUACUCUGCUUAAGUAGAACUGCGAGCAACAGUGGGUUGCUUCUUAGCAGACCAAUAAAUGAGAUUGGAACCAAAAAACAUACAGUAGCCACUUGUGGACCGGCGAUCAAUGGGACAACCAGCCCAAUCAGCGUCAGAGUAGGCGUGAAGAUGAAUGGAACCUUGCUGAAACCAAAGAUCAUGCUCCAAAGUACCUUUCAAAUAUCGGAGAAUACGCUUAACAACUCCCAAAUGAGACUCACGAGGCUGAUGCAUAAACUGGCAUACUUGAUUGACAGCAAAAGCCAAGUCACGCAUGGUUCAUGUAAGGUACUGCAAAGCACCAACAAUGGACCGAUAAAAGGUAGGAUCGGCUAAGAGGGGACUAGAAUUGUCCAACUUAAAGGAUCCAAGAGGAGUGGCGCAGGCUUUGGCUCCUAAGAAGUCAGUCUUAUGAAGAAGAUCAUAAGGUUACUUGGUUUGAUUCAGAAAGAGACCACGAUCUGUUCGAGUAACCUAGAGACCAAGAAAGUAGUGUAGAGGACUAAGGUCUGUAACAGGAAAUUGAGAGCUGAGAUGUUGAAUAACUUGCUGGCAGGCAGAAGGAGAAGAGCCAGUAACGAGAAUAUCAUCAACAUAAACCAAGAUAAACACAAGAUCAGGUCCAGCUUUAAUAAACAAAGAGGUAUCAUCCUGAGAAGACUGAAAGCCUAAACUGAUCAAAGCUUGAAACAACUCAUCAUACCAAGUGAUAGGACCCGCUCCGAAUUUUCCGAAACCCGAGACGAAUUCUGUGGAAUUUCUGACAUCACCCCGAUGUCAGGCCCACUUGCUAAAAUUGUAGUCUCUUUUUUCCAAAAGGAAUAAGGGCAUGAGACUUUCUGCUAAAAUUUUGACAAAAUCUCCCCUGUAAUUUGAACAUUUUCCAAAAUUUUAACCUGCACAAAAUUCACAAUUUUAACCUGCACAAACUCUCAGGCCAUGGCUUUUAAUUAGAUAUGCAAUUGUCAUCAGUUACAUCUUAAGCAGAGGUUUGAAUGGGUCAAAUAUGUCGGAGCUGGACAUUACAUUACUUAGUGCACAAGUUGGUCAAGGUCAAAUUUGUAUACUUUCUUUCUUUUUUAUAUUCACACAUGGAGUCUUCUGGGUAGGUCGUUUGGUGGGCCCAACUUGGAUUAUGCCGCGUUCACAGUAAUUGGGUCAUGGGUGGUAUAUUAUAGCCAUUCUGGUCUAUUCCAUGACAAUUUGCUUUUAGUUAAGUUGCACAAAUCCUCUUUCGUUUCGAUAAUGUAGCUCAUAUGUCAACGGUGCUCGUAUGACAAAAAAAUAAAGUAAAUAAUAGAUGGUAGUGGUUUUAUGACCUACAAAUUUUGUUAAAAUUUUGAUGAAGAGUAGUGCUUUUUUUUGUUAGAAAAUACUUUUAAUAAUUUAAAAAGUGAUCACAAUGUAUAGCAGUGGUUUUAUGACUCAUAAAUUCUUUUAAAUUUUCUACUGACGAGUAAUUUAGUGUCAAAAAAUACUUUUAAUUCUUUCAGAAGCAGUUUCAAACAAAUUCUUAACCCUAAUCGAAUUUUCAGAGUUAAAAGAGUCAUUUUAAACCUUAUGUGUAAACCUAAGCAAAUAGACUGAAAUUGGUAACAAAAAAAGACAUAAUUAAGAGCGUUCUUCGCUAUAAAAGAGUAGCAUUCACAUACAAUCCCACACUUGACAAUGACAUGGAUAAUUUGUGCAAUUUAACCCUUUUGUUUUUAUGUAUUUUUAAAAAGCAUGGGUGUGAUGAUAAGAGCAAGACACUAGCGUGAGCCACACGGUGCGAAGUUGGGGGGGAAGUGGGACCCAUAUGCCUGUUCACACAUACUCCCACCGACCGACCUAAGCAAUAGAUCCCUAUCUACAUUAUGUGUUGGUGUUUCUUAAUCCAUUUUUAUAUUCAAUUUGUUAAUUAAUGUUACGGCUCUUUGUUUCCUUUUUUAUUAAUUAUUCUUUAAUCCUUUUUUCAUUAUCUAAAACCGUUUUCCCAUAGAUAUCCUUAGAUUGUCAAAUUGUCGUUUUGUGAGUUCUAAAAUGGAGCCAAAUUAAAGGGGUUUUGUUGUUGGGGGUUUUUGCAUGAUCGUUUAAGAGCACAAGCGGCUCACCUAUGUGAUCUUGUUUUUACGUGCACAAUAUUUUGGAAUGUGGACUACUCAUAAAAAUUGUUGCAUUUCAUACAUGUAAGUGGAAUCAAAGACAACUUGGUACGCAUUGGUGAAGAUGUUGAAUAGAUAGGAACAAAGAUCCGGGAAAUAAUUAGAUGAGUUAUUAUUAUCAUAAAUUACGAUUAGAAAACGAAUUUAUGGUAUUGGAAAUACUAUAAGCACUUUAGACAAUAUUUGAUAUCACAAAUGAUCAAAAGUUAUUGGGAUCGUCAUGAAUUACGUGUUGUCAUAAAAUCUAUAUAUUUUUGUGUCUAUCUCUCUCUUUACGUGAUAUUAAUAUACAAUACAUUCUAAAAGUGAAUGUCAGUCUGGUAGUGGUUGAGUUAGUUCAAAAAUUUCAACAUAUUUGGUUUUAUUUCUCAAUAUAACAAUAAAUACUCCUGUCAGAAAAAUAGUUAUGAGAGAAGGCUCAGCUAUUUUAUAUAUAAAUAAUAAACCCAUUUUAAUUCUGAUUUCUUCAUUUAAAGAAAAUACUUCUCCAUCUUUCAAGUCAACCCAAAAUAAUAAAAAAAAUACAAAAAGAAAGGCGGCAGAAAGCAUAACGGCUAUAAUACCAUCUGCCGACUCAUUCAUAAAUCAGCCAAUACUCAAUAGCCACGUGUACAAAAAGAUCAUUAGUUUUCCGAUUGUACCCCUCCAGACUUUCCCUCUAUUUUCAAGCCCUCCUCCUGUCCUGCUUUAACAGAAUCCUCUUUGUUUCUUUAACCUCGUCGUGAUCAUGGAUCCUCCCACACGGAAACCCAACCGCCUAUGGAACAUCCUCAUCCGAAUCCUCACCUUCGGUGUCCUGGUCCUGGCCGUCCGAUUCGCUUACGUCAUCACACUCGCCGGCGAGUCGUGCGGCUACAACGACUUCUGCUUCUUCCCCAACAACCUCAAACUCCGCUUCGGCGGCGGCGAGGCCUUACGUGUUCGUGGAUCCGCCCAGCCACGUGUUCCUGGGCUCUGGACCACCAAGAAGUGGCGCAGAACAGUCGAUUACUACUCGGCGAUUUUCCAAGGCCUGAUCGCCGAUGGGUUUCUCUCGCCCAAUUUCAAAACCCUCUGCGUCGAAACCCUAGCCGGCCAGGACGUCCUGGCACUUCAAGAAAACGGCUUCAUUGACUCGAUUGGAGUCUCCAAGAACGCUUCUCCGCCGUUGGUCGUUGCCGGCGAGGCCCACCGCCAACCGUUUAAUGAAGCCACGUUCGAUUUUGAGUUCUCGGGUCUGGACCGGUCGGGUCGACCCGUGGAUUUUUCUGAUGAGCUCUGUCGGACUCUGAAACCGGGCGGGUUCUUCGUGGCUCACAUUGUGGCUAAAGAUUCGUACAGCGUCAAUUCUUUUCUCCAAUUGUUCAAUUGCUGUAGACUCAUUCGGUCGCGCGAGAUCGACGGCCUGGAAACGACGUCGGUUCGCGAGGUUGUGAUGAGGAAAGAGGCUGAAUCUUCUGGUGGCAAUUCCGGUUAUAAAUGCUCGGUUCCAGGGUAUAAGCGGGAAAUAGUGAGAAAGGCAGAGGCUUUGAUAGAGCAAGAGCCACUGAAACCUUGGAUUGCAUUGAAAAGGAACUUGAAGAAGGUAAAGUACUUAACUUCAAUGGUGGACAUUAGCUAUAAGCAGAGGUACGUUUAUGUUGAUGUUGGGGCUCGUAGCUAUGGGUCUAGUAUAGGAAGUUGGUUCAAGAAACAGUACCCAAAACAGAACAUUAGCUUUGAGGUGUAUGCAAUUGAGGCUGAUAAGGCAUUUCACGAAGAGUAUAGAACAAAGAAAGGGGUGUCUCUUUUGCCUUAUGCGGCGUGGGUGAGGAAUGAGACCUUGUUCUUUGAGAUCACAAGAGACCCAAGUAAGAAAACUGUGGAUAAAGGUAGAGGAAUGGGGAGGGUUCAACCGGUGAGGCCUUCCUCGAAUUAUGGGGAUAAUGUGGAUAAGAUUGAGGGGUUUGAUUUCGCUGAUUGGUUGAAGAACACGGCUUCGGAGAGAGAUUUUGUGGUGGUGAAGAUGGAUGUGGAAGGGACUGAGUUUCAUUUGAUUCCCAGGUUGAUUGAGACUGGUGCCAUUUGUUUGAUUGAUGAGAUUUUUCUUGAGUGCCAUUACAAUAGAUGGCAGAGAUGUUGUCCGGGUCAGAGGAGCCCCAAGUUCAAGAAGACGUAUGGUCAAUGCUUGGACCUGUUCAAUAAGCUCAGAGACACUGGAGUUCUUGUACAUCAAUGGUGGUGACUGGUGACCUGUGUAUGGUAAUUGACUAAUAGUUGACUUGUAGUCUUGCAGGAAGCAUACUAGUUAGAGUUCUUUCUAUUAGGUGUUGCUUGAUUCUUUGUAGUGUGUAGAUCGGAUUCUUGUUUCUUUGUUUCUCGAUUCUUUUAUUAGUUCAAAUGAAAAAUAUUCAAUGAGAUGGUUCAUUCUUUUCCCCUGAUUUGGCGUCUCAAGUUUUUGCUUAAAUUUUGUACUGAUGCAGUAUGUAUUUUGCAACAUAAUGCUUAUGUGAUAUAAGAUGAGAACAGAUUUGGGUAUUUCUGGCCCAGAAACUAGUUAAAUAUGAUUACACAUUGAAGGACAAGAGUGGAAACUUGUUGAUGGUUACCUGAAGCUAAAUAAGUAAAUAAUCGAAUAUAAAGCAACCAUUAAGGCUCACUUUCUUUCUGCUCUCUCUCUCUCUCUCUCUCUCUCUCUCUCUCUCUCUCUCUCUCUCUCUCCCUCUCCCUCUCUGUGUUUGGCAUGGUUCAGAUUCCCUUGAUAAUUCGUAAUUAUCACGAGAAUCUGAUGGUUCAAAUCACUUCUAAAAUGUAACCACUAAGAGACGUUGAUCACAUAGUUGGUAAGUAUAUGACUGUACUGUUGGAUGCCGAUAUGUCAGCUGGGGAUCACAUCUUAGCUUAAAUUGAGGAAAGCCUGAUUGAGUGGAGAGGGGCGCCAUUCUCCCGAAUAUUAUGGAAGGUCUCUGUAUUCGCAUGGCUAACUUUGAUAGUUACAUUAUAUUCUAUUAAUAGGUUUGAUGAUCUCUCUCUUUCUCUCAGCAUCUGGUCUCAUUUUCUUUUCAUUCAUCUCUUUCUUUUUCUUUCUUUUUCCCUCUCCCUAUUCCGUUUGUUGUUUCUUUUUCCUUAUGUUCUAUGACAAGCUAUCGUUUUCUGUAAGCCACAACAAUGAGUUUGGGAACCGUCACUGGGCCAUACACCGAAGAAUUUUUGGUGUGCCAAUCUAUCCACAAAAUAUGCCCCAAAAGUUUAUGGCAUGACAUCCAUAUUUUUGAUUAUGCCUUACCUGUUCUAUUGGUCCAGACCAUUCUAAUUUUCUUUGUUUCAAGAUUUAUCUACUUUGUAUUGAGGCCUGUUCAACAAAGUAUGAUGAUGGCACAACUUUUGGUGAGUUCUCUCUCUCUCUCUCUCUCUCUCUCUCUCUCUCUCUCUCUCUCUCUCUCUCUCUCUCUCUCUCUCUCUCUCCCAAUAGUAUACACCAACAUGUAUUGCAUGACACAAAAUUUAUAAAAGGGAGAGUCAUAUUUGUAUAUAUCAAGGAGAAAGAGAAANNNNNNNNNNNNNNNNNNNNNNNNNNNNNNNNNNNNNNNNNNNNNNNNNNNNNNNNNNNNNNNNNNNNNNNNNNNNNNNNNNNNNNNNNNNNNNNNNNNNGAAAGAGAAAGAUAGAAAGACGCAAGUCAAGCCAUGUACUACUGUUAUGCAUCCAAGUUUGAGUGAAUUUCAUUUAGUUCUUAAUGUUUCAAUUUGAUCAGUUUAUAACCCCUAUUGUUUGCACAUUGUGGCAAUGUUAAUUGUUAAUAUCUGUUUAAAUGGUGGUCACCGAUCUAUCUUACUUAAAUUAGAAUUUAAAAGGAGUGUGGAUAUUGCUACAAUCUGUAAAUGUUAGAGUAAAUUGAUCAAAUUAUAAUAUUACAGACCAAAAGUGAAGUUCAGUCAAAAUAUAUCGAUGCAAACUUGUAAUUGACUUCAUAUAUUAAUUACUUCACAAGUUUCUCAUGCUGGGGUAAUGCAGGGUAGACAGCUUCAUGUAAACUUGCUACAACAGUAAGACAAUUGCAAGAGACAUAGGAUUCAUCUAUCUCAAGAUAGGAAUGCCUACAAAGUAUGACAGUAGCAAUUAACUCUUCCGCCAGAUCGAUUGCCCAGAAGGCAAAUGAUUAAACAGUUUUCAGCCUUGUAAAUAGAUGAUUGCGAACUUAUCAAAAGCUUGAGGCUGUUUUGCUAAUCCUCUUUUUUAAACUAUGAAUACAAGAUACCCAUUUUACACAACUAGAAUGAUCCAAAUUGCUUUGCCUGCGAUUGUUCUUGUUCUUUUGCUCUGCUGUAUAUGUCUUGAUUGUAGUGAUGUGAUGA
This 31535-nucleotide long non-coding RNA is filed under the name Prunus persica (peach). RNAcentral describes it as "long non-coding RNA (PPER_LNC005623)". The record is from RNAcentral. Lineage: Eukaryota; Viridiplantae; Streptophyta; Magnoliopsida; Rosales; Rosaceae.